RNAcentral lists this transfer RNA (142 nucleotides) under Candidatus Altimarinota bacterium. Its description in RNAcentral is "tRNA-OTHER". It matches the Rfam family "tRNA". From Rfam's summary of the family: Transfer RNA (tRNA) molecules are approximately 80 nucleotides in length. Their secondary structure includes four short double-helical elements and three loops (D, anti-codon, and T loops). The record is from RNAcentral. Lineage: Bacteria; Candidatus Altimarinota.
CGGUGUGUAGCUCAAUGGCAGAGCAGUUUUUACUAAAAUUUUGUAUAAGUAAGGUUUUUACCCUACAAGUUCUUGUCACUUUUGACAAUUAACAAAGUUUAGUAAAGAAAGGUUAGGAGUUCAAUUCUCUUCACAUCGACCA